UAAAACCCACGUUUAAAACCCAUCUUCUUCUUCUACGUAUCUAAAAUCACAAACUUAGGGUUUCUCUCUUCCUCUCAAUUUCUCUGGUAUGGUCUUUUCUCUCUCUUUGGUUUCAUAGUUUCUUUCUAUCUUUGGUUUCAUAUAGCUUCUCUCUCACUGGUUUUGUAGGUUCAUAAUU
Molecule: small RNA, 178 nt
Filed under: Arabidopsis thaliana (thale cress)
Lineage: Eukaryota; Viridiplantae; Streptophyta; Magnoliopsida; Brassicales; Brassicaceae
Description: ATSL030410
Source: RNAcentral